CAGCAGCAGCCGCGGUAAUACAGAGGGUGCAAGCGUUAAUCGGAAUUACUGGGCGUAAAGCGCGCGUAGGUGGUUCGUUAAGUUGGAUGUGAAAUCCCCGGGCUCAACCUGGGAACUGCAUCCAAAACUGGCGAGCUAGAGUAGGGCAGAGGGUGGUGGAAUUUCCUGUGUAGCGGUGAAAUGCGUAGAUAUAGGAAGGAACACCAGUGGCGAAGGCGACCACCUGGGCUCAUACUGACACUGAGGUGCGAAAGCGUGGGGAGCAAACAGGAUUAGAUACCCCUGUAGUCCCUGUCUCUUAUAC
This 304-nucleotide ribosomal RNA is filed under the name uncultured bacterium. RNAcentral describes it as "partial 16S ribosomal RNA". It matches the Rfam family "Bacterial small subunit ribosomal RNA", at positions 506 to 807 of the family's 1533-position model. The record is from RNAcentral.